GGAGGGUCCUCCUUUUUAACGCACUCUCUUCACAGUUCACACAAAUUUCAAAAAGCAAAAGCCGAAAUGGAAUGCAGGAAAUUAAAUUGAACACAGUUCAAAUCUAGUCCAAAGACGACAUUUUUGUGAAUUGUUUGUGAAAUUGCUCACUAGAUUUAUCACUCCAUCCAUGUCCGCCCAAGCACAAAGUGCUUUAUUCCUUGGCGAUGGAAUACAUUAUGCGACGCCAAUAAUAUCCUCGACGAGGACAAGUGAAGUAGAGGUGGUGCGAGGUGUCCUGCGAAUGAUGCAGGGCCUGUCGAGUUCCCUUUUCUAUUGGGACCAAAUUAAGCAGAGUUUUUGUGUUGCCAGAAGUGGGAUAUAUGUGACUCACCUUUCCCUUACAAGCCUUCAGAACCUUCUCAAUCAGUUCCUGUAUUCUGCUACUUGUUUACAACUUGUUCAAGUUAAUGUCAAUAGAUUGGAGUUAGAGACUCGAAUGCCUACUCUAAGGGCUUUUGCAUCUGCUGUUACUCAAUGGCUUAAGAGGUUGAGAGAUAUUGCUUUAAAGGAAGAAAUUAAGAUGUGCAACUCUAAUAUAGGAAUCACUCCCACCGUUUUGGGAUUGUCAAGUUCCUUAUCCAGUCUUUGCUCAGGUGCUGAAUGUUUAUUGCAAAUAGUGCAUGGAGCUAUUCCACAAGCGUACUUUCAGCCUAAUUCUUCUAUUCCAGCAUCUGAAAUGGCUGUUCAUAUCCUAGACUACCUUUACAAGAAAUUGGAUGAAGUGUGUCUUGUGCAAGGUGGUGAGGAGGAAGCAUAUCUUAUGGUGCUUCAUAUUCUUGUUGGAAGUUUAUUACCAUAUAUUGAGGGACUUGAUUCAUGGAUUUUCAAAGGAACACUUGAUGAUCCUUUCGAGGAGAUGUUCUUUUAUGAUAACAGAGGAAUCUCAGUUGAUGAGUCUGAGUUCUGGGAGAAGAGCUAUCAACUGAGACAAGUACAAGGUCAGAAGUUUGAUGUUGGGCUUUCUGCCCCAACUUCUGCCAACUCCUUAUCAAAUAACAAGAAGGAAAUGGGUGAAAAAGAUUCUGUUUCUAUGUCUAUUUCUGUGAAGGUCAAGGAACAGAACAAGAAGGAACUUCAGUUAUGCCCUUUAUUUAUUAAGAACCUUGCAAAGUCCAUUGUCUCUGCUGGAAAGUCAUUGCAGCUGAUACGCCAUGUUCCUAUGUUUUACUCGGUGCUAUCUGGCAAAAGUGUUGACAAUGAAAUUGAUGGCUUUGGAGGUUCUGAGGAUGAUAAAGAUAUAAAUAGUCAGCAACAAAGCAUAGCAGGGUUAGCCUUGCCAGAGAUUUUCAGUAUUUCAGUAGCAGGCCUCAUAGGCCAUGGUGAGCACAUCUCAAGGUACCUUUUACAAGAUGACCCAUGCAAAUAUGAGAUUGUCCAUUCUUUGGUUUCUGAAAUGACCAGGGAAAUGGUUGGGAAUGGGAAUGGGAAUGGGAAUUGUGAAAGCUGGCCAACUUUAAAAUGCUCAGAGAAUAUUUGUUGCAAGGUCUUCGGCAAGACAGUGUCACAUGAAAAUGUGCUUGAUGUGGAAUCUACAAAUAAGGAUGAGAUUGGCUUUUCUGACACUGAAGAAGGGUGUAUAACUGUAGGUGUGGUGGAUGAGUUGCCCCUCCAAAGUUCAUUCUGUCCAGAAAAUCCAGUUAUCACUGUGUGUCAAAGAUUACUUGAUAAGCAUAAAGAUUUCUGGAAAAUAUUGAACUUACCAAAAAAUUUUCGUCUACCCCCUUUAAAUGAUGAGGUCUUACGGGAGUCUGUAUUUGGUCAUGAGAGUGGGCUGCUUUCUGCAGUUAAAGGAACUAAUUAUGCUUUUGGUUUCCAGUUUGGUAAAUCUGAGUAUCUUCGUUCACAAGAGGACAUUAAGCUGCUAGAAGUCUUGUUCCCUUUUCCCACUCUUCUUCCUUCUAUCCAGGAUGAUAUCUGUAUGUCAGGGCUCUUGCCUUUCCAGAAGAAUAGCACCCUUGCAUCAAGAGUUCUCAGCUGGAUUCAAGGCACCGAACCUAGAACAAUGCCACUUCCACUGGUUAUUAUUCAAGAAUGCCUAACUGUCUAUAUUAAGAAGCAGGUGGAUUAUAUUGGCCACCUUAUGUUGUCAAAGUUGAUGAAGGAUUGGAGAUUAACGGAUGAGCUUGGUGUUUUACGUGCCAUAUACCUGUUAGGUUCAGGUGAUCUACUGCAGCACUUUUUGACAGUGAUUUUCAGUAAGCUGGACAGGGGGGAAACAUGGGAUGAUAAUUUUGAGUUAAACUUGAUUCUACAGGUGCAUUUUGUGAACUAAUUCAAGCAUCAUGCCUUGCACAUGGCUAAAUUAAUUUUUCUUCUCAAUUCUACUCCCUCGACCCAGUAGAAGAAUAAACUAAAGUUAUUUCACACUGGGAAAGUUCAUAAUUGUAUUCUACUUGAGGAGGGUUGGACUGCCAUGCUGAGUGCAUAGAACCAUCUGUUAGUGUCCAUUUACUUAAAAGUAAAAGAUAAUAUAAUAAGAAAAAUUUGUUGCCUAAAAUGUCAUGAUGUGGUGUCUCCCCCUCUACAACAGGAAUCCAUCAGGAAUUCUGCUGAUAGCAUGCUGCUAAGUGCUCCAGAUUCAUUGUUUGUGUCCAUCAUCAAGAAUCAUGGUUUUGAUGGUGAUGAGCUACCUAUUUCUCCAACCCUUGCCUCAACAACUCAUAAGAGUCGUCCGCAUAGCUUUGGAAUAGAUGGUCUUGACUCUUUGAAAUUCACAUACAAGGUCUGUUAUAUGGUCCAGGAGGCUUGAAUUUGUUUUAAAACCCAUGUCUUCACUUAAGCACUUCCAAAUGUGACAGGUCUCCUGGCCACUUGAACUUAUUGCUAAUGCAGAGGCAAUUAACAAGUAUAACCAGGUAUCUUGUUUUGUGUUGAAGGUGUUGUCAUAGAGUUUUUCUUGUUCUUUGACCGUUCUAUGUCGGUACUCUGCUGUAGGUGAUGAGGUUUUUGUUGAAGGUCAAGCGUGCCAAAUAUGCACUUGACAAAGUUCGGAGGUGGAUGUGGAAGGUUCUUUUUAUUUUCUUCUUGUGACGCUAAUCUAGUUUAGCUUUUUAUUUAGUUGAUUAGAGCAUAUAUCUGGUGUUUUGACAGAAGGAAAUAUGUUGCAUAUCACUGGAAGGAAAAAGAAACAUGUUAUUUUAGGGCCACUCUUUACAAUGGUAUUGUUUCUCUAACUUGAUAUCUGUUAUUAUCCCUUUCAGGGCAGAGGCGCUGGGACAAACAGCCACAAGCAUCACUGGUUAGUGGAGCAGAAACUCCUUCAUUUUGUGGAUGCCUUCCACCAGUAUGUAAUGGAUAGGGUAAGAAUUUGGUGAAAAUUACUUUCAUGGACAAACUGGUCACAAUGAUGACACAGAUACAGAUAUUAAGACCACAUUAUUAACUCCAAACAUAGAAACAUUAUUGAAUUUAUUUAAUGGUUUUCUCAUAUCUUUUGUUAUAUCUGGAAAUUUUCUACACGAGGACCAUUGGCUAGUGCAUCUGUAAAAACUACUCACAAGGUAUUAGAUUUGAAGCAUGAUGGCAGCUAUGUGAUGUCGUACAAAUUUGAUAAGGGUAUAAACUGCCUCCAGAGUUUCUUUUUUGGGAUUCACCAUGCUGGGGCAACAACUGGCACUGGUCCUUCUGUUUUGAAAAUUUUCUACCUGCAAUUUGGUGGUUUUGUGAACCAUCUUUAGUGAUGAGCAUAUUUUCAAGACAUGCCUCUAUUUUCAUUUAUUUCUUUCUUUCUAUUUUUGGGAUAAAAAUUGCAUUGUUGUCUCUAUUAUCUUGUCCUAGUAUUUAUUCAUGGCUAUAAUUACAUACAUAUGUAGGUCUUUAUCUUUUGCUUAAUGCAUUUGACUCUUUAUAUUUUUGUUCAUUCUGCACAGAUGCCUAAAGUCCAUAGUUGAGCUGAAAAUUGGCCUUUUUGGUAUUGAUUAAAUGAGAAUGGUUCCAGAAUUUUUCUUCUACCACUGAAUUUAAUCUAGAAAAACACCUGGACAUAGGGGGAAUAAGAAAAAAACAUUAUUUACUAGGUUCAAGUUUAUAUGAGUUGGAACUUGUAACUCUCAAAAAACCUGCAUACUCUGUUUAUUUCAGAUCUCCAGAGUGCUUUUGUCCUACUCUUUAUACAUGAUUAUAACUUAAUGUUAAGAUGGAAAGAUUUAUAUGAUGCAUUUCAGUGAUGGGUUCUUUGUGGCACAUUUUGUGAGCAGGUAUAUCACAGUGCAUGGCAUGAACUUUGUGAAGGUAUGGCAACAGCUGGAUCUCUGGAUGAAGUCAUUGAAGUACAUGAGGCGUACUUAUUAUCAAUUCAGCGGCAAUGCUUUGUGGUUCCAGAUAAGCUGUGGGCCUUGAUUGCAAGUCGAAUCAACAUGAUCCUUGGAUUAGCUUUGGACUUCUACUCCAUUCAACAGACAUUAAGUAGUGGCAGUGCAACUUCUGCAAUGAAGGCCAGAUGUGAAAUGGAAGUGGAUAGAAUCGAGAAACGUUUUGAUGAUUGCAUUGCCUUUCUUCUCAGAAUCUUGUCUUUCAAACUCAAUGUGGGGCAAUUCCCUCAUUUGGCUGAUCUGGUGACUAGAAUUAAUUACAACUAUUUCUACAUGUCUGAUAAUGGAAGCUUGAAGACUGCCACUGGCUCUGAAACUGUUAGUUCAAGGCUGGGGAAAGUCUUUGGAGCUAGAAUGGACUAAUUAAAUUAGCGCAGGAUGGUUUAUGAUGCCAUGUCACUAAAUUUCGGAUAUGAGGAUGUGUUUUCCUGAAUUAAAUUUUGCUGCCAUCUGGAAGCAAAUUCCUUGGCUCUGUACCUUUUCAUAUCAGUGCGGCAUAAAAUAGUAAGUGGUUUAGAAUUCACAAAUUGUCUAAUUCAAUGCGAAAAGGUGCAAAGCAAUGAUACAUGAGCUACAUUUAGUUACUAGAAUAUGCAAGUUGCUUAAUUGCUGCAGAUUUCCUCAACUUCAAAGGCAUUUCAGCUUUACUGAGAUGCAGAAAGACGACUUGAUGCUUGAUGAAGAUUCAGGAGUUGGAUAUUUUUAUUCUGGGUUUCUUGCUUUAUGCAUAUCUUUCCCUUUUCUCCCCUAUAUAUAUUGGUUAGUUUUAACUGUAAAGCUGUAAAUGGCUGCUGUUCCCAGUUGUUAUUCCACGUAUGAUGUUUUUGUUUGUCUUGCUCUUCGCCUUGUAAUGGGAUUGGCCUCCUGUUAUUGAUGCUUUGAUGUUUUUUAUUCCCCAUCACCUCGUCAGCACAAUUGGUAUGGCAUCUAACAUGUUACAUAUUUACACAGUUGUAAACAUCCUUGUAUUUUCAGGGACAAACAAUUGAUAACAGGGGAAAGAAAAGAAAAUAUUUCUUUGUUGUAUAUUUUCUUAUUCUUAAAUCAAACUUGAGAGAUGCACGGCAUUCAUCACUUUAUAAAU
RNAcentral lists this unclassified non-coding RNA (5436 nucleotides) under Hevea brasiliensis (rubber tree). Lineage: Eukaryota; Viridiplantae; Streptophyta; Magnoliopsida; Malpighiales; Euphorbiaceae. The record is from RNAcentral.